GUGGGUAGUUUGACUGGGGCGGUCUCCUCCCAAAGAGUAACGGAGGAGCACGAAGGUUGGCUAAUCCUGGUCGGACAUCAGGAGGUUAGUGCAAUGGCAUAAGCCAGCUUGACUGCGAGCGUGACGGCGCGAGCAGGUGCGAAAGCAGGUCAUAGUGAUCCGGUGGUUCUGAAUGGAAGGGCCAUCGCUCAACGGAUAAAAGGUACUCCGGGGAUAACAGGCUGAUACCGCCCAAGAGUUCAUAUCGACGGCGGUGUUUGGCACCUCGAUGUCGGCUCAUCACAUCCUGGGGCUGAAGUAGGUCCCAAGGGUAUGGCUGUUCGCCAUUUAAAGUGGUACGCGAGCUGGGUUUAGAACGUCGUGAGACAGUUCGGUCCCUAUCUGCCGUGGGCGCUGGAGAAUUGAGGGGGGCUGCUCCUAGUACGAGAGGACCGGAGUGGACGCAUCACUGGUGUUCGGGUUGUCAUGCCAAUGGCACUGCCCGGUAGCUAAAUGCGGAAGAGAUAAGUGCUGAAAGCAU
This 520-nucleotide ribosomal RNA is filed under the name Enterobacter hormaechei subsp. steigerwaltii. RNAcentral's name for it is "partial 23S ribosomal RNA". It matches the Rfam family "Bacterial large subunit ribosomal RNA", at positions 2261 to 2780 of the family's 2925-position model. Lineage: Bacteria; Pseudomonadati; Pseudomonadota; Gammaproteobacteria; Enterobacterales; Enterobacteriaceae. RNAcentral also lists the same sequence under 1 other name. The record is from RNAcentral.